UACAGAGGGUGCAAGCGUUAAUCGGAAUUACUGGGCGUAAAGCGCGCGUAGGUGGUUUGUUAAGUUGGAUGUGAAAUCCCCGGGCUCAACCUGGGAACCGCAUUCAAAACUGACAAGCUAGAGUAUGGUAGAGGGUGGUGGAAUUUCCUGUGUAGCGGUGAAAUGCGUAGAUAUAGGAAGGAACACCAGUGGCGAAGGCGACCACCUGGACUGAUACUGACACUGAGGUGCGAAAGCGUGGGGAGCGAACAGG
RNAcentral lists this ribosomal RNA (253 nucleotides) under uncultured bacterium. Its description in RNAcentral is "partial 16S ribosomal RNA". It matches the Rfam family "Bacterial small subunit ribosomal RNA", at positions 524 to 776 of the family's 1533-position model. The record is from RNAcentral.